This 773-nucleotide long non-coding RNA is filed under the name Strongylocentrotus purpuratus (purple sea urchin). RNAcentral describes it as "uncharacterized LOC115927335, transcript variant X1". Lineage: Eukaryota; Metazoa; Echinodermata; Echinoidea; Camarodonta; Strongylocentrotidae. The record is from RNAcentral.
CAACGACCUUAUCUGUGACAACAGUAACACUAACAGCUAGGCAACUUCGGUGCUGGACACGGUUAUCUGUAGAAAUCCUGAAAUAUACAGAGUGUAUUACCAUAUGCUUGCUUCUUUGAGUAUGUGCCUGAAACAAGAAUGUCCUGGAGAAAAAGGACCACAACAAGAAAAGAGAUGGAGAGGAAGGGCUUGCUGUUGAGAGAUCAUGGGGUGCCUUGAGGUUCCACUUCCAGUCUUGAUGUUCUGCCCCUUACCUCUAAGCGAUGGCCUCUUGUGCCUGGCAAUAUAUGAGCGAAGCACAAUGGACUGGUGCCUGUACAUGUAAUGUAUUUCAUGCAAAUGAAGAGUAGAAUGAGAAGCUCACAAUGAUAUGGUAGACAAGGACCUUGCUGUCUAAAGCUCGGAGGCCAGAUGACAGUGUCUGAACCGGCUUGUCGGAAUUGCGUACAAGGAUGCCAUUGGACUUUUCUGUACUAGUAGCUGAAGGGGGGAGCAGUCACCAGAAGGAGCAUGCAACUCCAAAACAAUGUGGAUACUUCUACCGAGUUCAUCUCAAGAAUCAAGAUGUGACAGUGGAUGUACAUGUAGAGGGGUUUGUGACCCUCCUGACUGGACUACAUGCAAUACACAUCAAUGGAUUGUAGAGGAGUAAUGGUGGGUCCGGUGAGCUCAACUCUGGAGGUUAAGUUCGCAAAAUUAAUAAAUUUCCUUUUAAUAUGGGUGUAUAUGGUUCCAGGGAUUAAUUUGACGCAAUGCCUCGUAGUGACACGCCC